Molecule: ribosomal RNA, 489 nt
Filed under: uncultured bacterium
Lineage: Bacteria
Description: bacterial SSU rRNA
Rfam family: Bacterial small subunit ribosomal RNA
Source: RNAcentral
AACGAACGUUGGCGGCGUGGAUUAGGCAUGCAAGUCGCACGAAUCCCAUUUGGGUAACUGAGUGGGGGAAGUGGCGAAAGGGGCAGUAAGGCAUGGGUAACUUGCCCUGGAGUCCGGAAUAGCCAUCCUAACGGAUGGGUAAUACCGGAUGUCGUACCUGGAGGGCCUCCUUCGGGUACGAAAGUUCAGGCGCUCCGGGAGGGGCCCAUGUAGUAUUAGCUAGUUGGUGAGGUAACGGCUCACCAAGGCCAAGAUGCUUAGCAGGUGUGAGAGCACGACCUGCGCCACUGGCACUGGGACACUGGCCAGACUCCUACGGGAGGCUGCAGUCGAGGAUCUUCGGCAAUGGGCGCAAGCCUGACCGAGCGACGCCGCGUGUGCGAUGAAGGCCUUCGGGUUGUAAAGCACUGUCGGGGGGGAGAAAGCCGCAAGGCUUGAUCGACCCCCGGAGGAAGCACGGGCUAAGUUCGUGCCAGCAGCCGCGGUAAU